This is a non-coding RNA of Pangasius djambal, 72 nucleotides long. Lineage: Eukaryota; Metazoa; Chordata; Actinopteri; Siluriformes; Pangasiidae. The record is from the annotation of a GenBank genome assembly.
UCCCUGAAGGACUAGUGGUUAGGCCUUGGCACCCUCACCGCCACGGCCUGGGUUCAAUUCCGGACCGGGGAA